RNAcentral lists this ribosomal RNA (483 nucleotides) under uncultured bacterium. Its description in RNAcentral is "partial 16S ribosomal RNA". It matches the Rfam family "Bacterial small subunit ribosomal RNA", at positions 355 to 828 of the family's 1533-position model. The record is from RNAcentral.
UGGGGAAUAUUGCACAAUGGGCGCAAGCCUGAUGCAGCCAUGCCGCGUGUGUGAAGAAGGCCUUCGGGUUGUAAAGCACUUUCAGCGAGGAGGAAGGUGGUGAGCUUAAUACGCUCAUCAAUUGACGUUACUCGCAGAAGAAGCACCGGCUAACUCCGUGCCAGCAGCCGCGGUAAUACGGAGGGUGCAAGCGUUAAUCGGAAUUACUGGGCGUAAAGCGCACGCAGGCGGUUUGUUAAGUCAGAUGUGAAAUCCCCGGGCUCAACCUGGGAACUGCAUUUGAAACUGGCAAGCUAGAGUCUCGUAGAGGGGGGUAGAAUUCCAGGUGUAGCGGUGAAAUGCGUAGAGAUCUGGAGGAAUACCGGUGGCGAAGGCGGCCCCCUGGACGAAGACUGACGCUCAGGUGCGAAAAGCGUGGGGCAGCAAACAGGAUUAGAUACCCUGGUAGUCCACGCUGUAAACGAUGUCGAUUUGGAGGUUGUG